RNAcentral lists this long non-coding RNA (224 nucleotides) under Elaeis guineensis (African oil palm). Its description in RNAcentral is "long non-coding RNA (EGUI_LNC047144)". The record is from RNAcentral. Lineage: Eukaryota; Viridiplantae; Streptophyta; Magnoliopsida; Arecales; Arecaceae.
UAUGGGUAUCUACUCAGGAUCAGCCUAAAAUAGCCCUCUUUGGUAUUAAUUUUUUUUUAAGAAAAAUCAGCUUACAAAUCUGAACGAAGCCUGGAUUGCAAUCAACUCUUUGAUCAUUUUUUUGAUCUUUUCUCCUCUUCUUCUCUUACUUUUCUUUCCUUAACUAUGAAGCAAUUAAGAAUUAGAAAUCAGCAAGCAAGAGGAUGCCCAAGCUCCUCUUGGGU